UAUAGUCAAAGCAAGAAAAGAAUAGUCUUGAUUUGGUGUCUAACUUCCCGCCUCCUGAUAAAAUCUUAUGGGGACGUGACAUUAGACACCAAAUCGAGACUACUCUUUUCUUGGUUCAACUAUAGAGUGCAAACACAAGUCUUUCAUUACUGUUGGGCGUUUUAGCCUGUCAUAUAAUAGUAUUAUUACCGUGCGUUAGCACGCCUCGCAUUGUCUUUAUUUGCCCGGGCCGUAGAUGGGAGCGCUAAAGGGCCGAUUAGUGACACGGUGGAUAGGGCUCUUGAUAGUUUUUAGAAAAAAGGAAAAAUUUUCACAAUGUUAUUCUCUUUCGAGUACACUCGGCGUCAUUAAUGCCUGGUCCAUCAAAAACUUUAAUACUAUCCGAGCAAUUAUCGAUGGAGUAGUUUUGAUUUUCAAACAGAGAUUCAACAUCUAAAUCAAUUUAGAAAGUUCAUGAUUUAAUACCCUUUUAGAUAGUCCCUAUCUAUAACAAUAGAAUAUCCCGACUAAAAAAUUUUUAAACCUUAAUUUAAAUAAGAAACUAUUGAUUAGAAUAAAAUGAAUGAAAGAAAUAUUUACAUUGUAAAUAGAAGUUUAAUAGAACCGGAGAAACCGGUAUUUUCUAAAGAAGAUACACAUUAGUAUGUUAUUUUAAUAUUUAUUUGAUUAAUCCAUCACCUUAUAAGCUAUUUGUAUUAUGUGGGUACAAAAUAUAUACAAGAGUGAAAAUAGAAAAGAAAAUAGAAAUGAAGGAGAAAAUAGAUAAAUAUGUAAAGCUGCUGAUUGUUGAUUAUAUUUUCGUUAAUAUAUGCUCUCUUAAACAGAAUCAGUGAAAACUACUGCAAUUCAGUGAAUAUUCACUGAUUGCCAGUAUCAAUCAUAUUAUGGAAAGAAUCAGUCAUUGGAUUGGCACUGGAUAUCAGUGAAUAUUCACUGAAUUGCAGUAGUUUUCACUGAUUUAGUUUAAGAGAGUGAAAACUGCUGUCUGGCAGACUUUCAAUUUGGUUUGGGGGUGAGAGGAGGUCAAAAUAGGAAAAAGACAGAUUGCAGGUAGAAGAAGGUGUCAAAUAUAUUAAAGAAUGUUGUUAUACUUACAGAGAAAUACUUUUUAUGCAAUUAAAUGAUAUAUUUAAAAA
Chelonus insularis is the source of this 1136-nucleotide long non-coding RNA. RefSeq lists it as uncharacterized. The record is from RefSeq and is a predicted model, not a curated record. Lineage: Eukaryota; Metazoa; Arthropoda; Insecta; Hymenoptera; Braconidae. The transcript is spliced from 2 exons.